AGUGAACGCUGGCGGUAGGCCUAACACAUGCAAGUCGAACGGCAGCACAGUAAGAGCUUGCUCUUACGGGUGGCGAGUGGCGGACGGGUGAGGAAUACAUCGGAAUCUACUUUUUCGUGGGGGAUAACGUAGGGAAACUUACGCUAAUACCGCAUACGACCUACGGGUGAAAGCAGGGGAUCUUCGGACCUUGCGCGAUUGAAUGAGCCGAUGUCGGAUUAGCUAGUUGGCGGGGUAAAGGCCCACCAAGGCGACGAUCCGUAGCUGGUCUGAGAGGAUGAUCAGCCACACUGGAACUGAGACACGGUCCAGACUCCUACGGGAGGCAGCAGUGGGGAAUAUUGGACAAAGGGGGCAAGCCUGAUCCAGCCCUACCGCGUGGGUGAAGAAGGCCUUCGGGUUGUAAAGCCCUUUUGUUGGGAAAGAAAAGCAGCAGGUUAAUACCCCGCUGUUCUGACGGUACCCAAAGAAUAAGCACCGGCUAACUUCGUG
This 492-nucleotide ribosomal RNA is filed under the name uncultured bacterium. RNAcentral's name for it is "partial 16S ribosomal RNA". It matches the Rfam family "Bacterial small subunit ribosomal RNA", at positions 29 to 507 of the family's 1533-position model. The record is from RNAcentral.